AGCUACUAAGAUAAAAACACGGUUCUGGUUGGUAGUCCAGACAUAGGUUUGUCUCGUUUUCGCGAGGCUGUGAAUCCUAUCAGUAACCUUCCUCCUUGGGUUGUCCGUUCUUGGGGAUUUUUUA
This 124-nucleotide non-coding RNA is filed under the name Streptococcus sp. RNAcentral describes it as "Azaaromatic sequence". It matches the Rfam family "azaaromatic riboswitch aptamer (yjdF RNA)". The record is from RNAcentral. Lineage: Bacteria; Bacillati; Bacillota; Bacilli; Lactobacillales; Streptococcaceae.